Molecule: long non-coding RNA, 9450 nt
Organism: Oreochromis niloticus (Nile tilapia)
Lineage: Eukaryota; Metazoa; Chordata; Actinopteri; Cichliformes; Cichlidae
Exons: 2
Source: RefSeq, a predicted model, not a curated record
CUGCUUCAUGCAUCAGCAUUAUUUCCGUUUCUGCAGGACAUUUUAUUUGGCAUCGACCAGUGCUGAAAGCCUCAGCUUUUUGUGGAUGCAGGUGUGGAGGUACUAUGCAGUCUCAGUAUGGACUGAAUACAGGAGAAAAAAAUGACUGGAAGAAGGCACUCGCCUGUCACGUUUCUUUUUCUUUUACCAGCAAUGAGUAAAAAUGCCCAUUUUUCCCAAAGACAGUACUACCAGUGUGCCUUUGAGCUGCCGAUGCUGUUUUACUGUUGCUGACCUACAUACAACUUGCCAUGUCAGCCCCCCCCCCAAAAAAAAUCAGCCUGAGCUAGAUCCUCCAGACAGGAGACUCCCAGUGAACAUAGCAACAGAAACUCUCCUCCCACCUCUCUCCCCACCCUCCCUGCCUCCCACUGGAGCGAUGCGGGCCAGGCUCUGUAGCUACAGCCUCACUUGGCUUCAGGAUUGGGGGAAGGGGAGUGAGUUAACAUAUGGCUUAUUGUGCAUUGUAGGCUAUGGCUUUCAGCUCGUCAACACUGGCACGAGCUGGAAAAUUGCACUUGUGUUCAGCAGCUGAAUCUUUUCUUCUUCUUUUUUUCUCGCGAUAUUUGUUUGGUGAAAUACCCACUCAGAAUGCCAUAAACCCAGCCGGUUUGUCACCAAAACUCCCGUGCAGAGUUAUUGUCUCCCAGACUCGUCUAUCAUCACCUUAAUAGCCACGUGUGUAACACUUAAAAAUGGUAAUCACCUCGGCUGUAACACCCGCAGACAGCUGCUGGAGAACGAUGACUACCUGUUUUAUAACCAUGUUUGCUUUGGAGGAGAGUGUGGUGCUGGCAUAAUUUGUGGUUCAGUUGCGUGUCAAGCAAAGCGGUCGGCCACAGUUUGGUGACGCAAGGGGAACUAUUAAUAUCUCGGGAACGGGAUGUUCUCGCUUCGGCAUCGGGGUCACUCGAGGAUAAACAACGUGUUGACGGUGUGGUUGUGGAGAGUGCGACAGAACGAUCGUCUGAGAGUUUUAAAGGGGGACACGCCGAAGUUCCCCUCUUUCCUUUUCUUUGUCCCUUGCACCGGGCGCAUCCCCGCGGUCAGGCUGGUUCACGCUCCGUGCCGGGGUUGUGCACUUCAGUCCGUUUUGAGCCUCGCCCACUUGUGAACCCGCUGACUUCUGAGCGCACUCUGGUCGAAGUGGUGGAAACAGUCAUGUGAUGUAACAGUGCCUCUUUGGAAAUCGUAUGUUUUGAAAUUCUGCCUCGCUGUGUUUUUUUGUUUUCACUUUGAACUUUCUCUGCGCCAAAUGGAAUAUAAAAGGGAGGCUUAUGUGCGCAUUCCGCUCAGAUUACAGGCCUGUAAAGCAUCAUAACGGCGCACGACUGCAAACAAAAGUUUGGUAUUGCAAUUAAAAUGGAAACCUGCAUUAGUUAUAGGCAAGAUGGAGAACUGUCAUGUAGUGCACAAGAACUUGCACCAGCAACUGGUUGUUUAUCAUUAUCAUCAGAAUACAUUUUUAUUUUAUUUAUUUAUUGGCUUUUAAAAAUGAAUUAUUUUGAGAUAAGCAGUAAAAUAGAAAGUCAAAAAGACCAAAUUUUAAUAUAAGGGGGAUGUCAGGGACACAACAGGAAGACAGUUUUCUUACUGUGUCAGCACUUAUUAGGAAGUCUUCUACACAGAGUGGGUUCAUCCAGAAUUUGGGUGUUGAGAGGAUGGAAUGGCGUGCCUGCAGUCCUGAUCUCAACCCCACUGAAACCUUGUUAGAUCAGCUCGGAAGUGCUCUUUGUGCCAGAGUGACCAACAUAACCAUGGUGGCUAGAUUAAUCUUGGUUGAAGAUGCCAUCCCACAGCAGUGUGUAACCAAACUGGUGACCAGCAUGAGGAGGAUGUGCCAGGCUCUUGUAGCUGUGUAUUGGUCUGCCACAUGCUACUGAGGCCUCUGUUUGUUAAAUGAAUAAAAUGUUUAAUUACCAGCACAUCUUGUUUCUUCAGACUUAAAUCAAUCAAUCCAACAAACAACACCAAACAAGAGUCAAUAGCAGAAUUAACAGCUUGACAUUGGCAGAGAAAAUUUGGCAAGUUUCUCAUAGGUCAAGCCUACAAGGACAACUCUGCUGCUCAACCCACAAAUGCAUUUGUGGAUUCCUCACAAAUAUGGCAAUAUUUAAGGGGAAAUAAACAGGCUUUCCAACUGUAUAAGAUUUAUGCCAUAAGUGGAUUUUGUAAGUUUAUAUACUUUCAGUUUUGUUUUCCAUGUAGAUUUUUAUUGAUCUUUGCUUUUUCUAACUGUUGAGUAGAUAAAACAAUUUCAAAGACAUAAGCUCUGGGAAAUGAUAGUGAGAUCUGUCACUAUAUUCUGAGAUUUUUUCCAAAUGGUAAUUUAAUUCUAAUGUUUUAUUUCAGCUUACAGCCCAUAUAAAGAGAAGUGACAGAAAGAAAAAAAAACAUCAUGACCUUUAUUAGUAAGGCACUGGGCCACCACAAGCCAUGAGAAAAGCUCCAGUGCAGCGUGGCACUGUUUCUCUUAUUGUCUGAAACGAUACUGGAUAUUCCCUCAUUUACCAUGUGGUAGAGAGUGCUGUCUUUCACUUCAGUCCAAAAUCUCCCACAGGUGUCCAACUGUGUUAAGAUCAUAUGGCUACGGACACCACAGUAUAUUGUUUACCGUGCUAAUCAACCCAAUCAGUGACCCCUUGAGCCCUGUGGAUGGGGAGAGUGCCAUGCUGGAAGUGAAUACUCCAUCAGGAUGGAAAUGUUCUUUCACUGGAUACCAGUGAUCAAAGUAACUGUGCUGCAGUGAUCCUCCCCUCUCAGUGAACCAUGUAACCCUUAUUGCUGGCAUCAAGUAUUUAGGCCUGCCCUCAUAUCUGGAUGUACAUAACAUGUUCACAUCACUUGCUGAUUGUAAGGUUGGUGGUUUGACCCUCACGUCCUCCAGUACAUAUGUUUGAAGUGUCCGUGGGUCAGAUAUUAAACCCCUCAGUCAAGGGCUGUACACAAAAAUACUAAAACAAAUAAGAACAUGAAAUUCCAGAAUAGCCAAUAAAAAGAAUUAAUAGCACACAAUAAAAUAAGACAGUUUUUAAAUAAAUAAAUAAUAAUAAUUCAACAAACAGAAUGCCGAUUUAAACAAAAAAGUUUGCCUGAUUGUGGCUUGUAAUAAAAAGUGCUUAGUACUCACUUAGAGCAGAAAAGCACUGUAAGUACCAGUCCACUGGCCAUUACUGUAAUAACCCUAUAUAAUUAUGGGUGCAUUGUUCUUGCAGACAAGUCUUUUCACAUCCUGCAUAAACAGCCUCACUCACCUGAGGAAGAGCUACUCUUUAGCCUUGCCUUGCAUGCACCAGUGCAGCAUCACAGUCAUCAAAGCUGCACUGCUCAUGACAGUUUCCACAGAUUUAAAUGUAACUUGUAGCCAUUUUUUCAAAGUGAAAACUUGUCAGACUGAGAACUCUGUCACUGAAGCUCCUGUAAUUCAUCCCAACAGUGAACCCUUUUUCACCAUCAUAAGAAACAGCAAGUUUUUUGGUUUGAGUUUAACUCCUUAAUACUAUGCAGUGCACCAGCUUGGAAGCAUGCUUGAUUUGCUUCUACACUCAUUUAUUUAGUUUUUUCCUCUAAUUUUAAUCUCGAUCGGUGUCAGUAGAAAAUGACUGUGCUGUAAUGACCUUUACAUCUUGCACACACUCAAACACUGACCAUUAAUAAUGGACUGCAUGCCAUUUAAGUGCCUCUGUUGAAUGUCCCACCAAAAGAGACGGUCAUCUCAAAAGCAUCAGCGCAGUGAGCUAAUGCAGGCCCCCUGCAGACUCACCGCCCAGAUGAAUAGUGCAUUUCAGAGUGUUGUCCCCUCACCGGUGCCCGCGAGGCACGUCCCUCUCCAGCCGUCGCACCAAUCAAUGCAUUUUGAAUAGCACCAGCACUGACCAGCAAAUGGGUGCAAAAACAAAACUCUGUCCGCUUCACAUUGCUCUUUUGAGCUGUAUUGUGUUGAGCAGACAAAGCCACCAUGCCAAAGGAACAAUGAUGGCAGUGCAUACUCAUGGCUAAGCAUGGGCCUAGGGUCAAGCGAGUGACGUACAAAUCAGCUUGUGAUUAUGAACUCAAGUCUGCAUGCAAGACAGUCGUCACUCUCACGUCAGAGCACUUGUCUACUGCUUUCAAAUUAUGCAACAGAAAAAAUUAUCAUGUUCUGCCAGUGAUGCUGGACAGCUCUCUGUUCUUUGUAGUAGAGUGCCGGGGAGGCGGCACCGAGGCGGGGGAGGAAAGCAGGAUUAACAUAGUGGUAAAGAAGGUUGCCUCUUGUGUGGCUGAACAUUGAUGGCCUGGAGGCAAAAAGACAGAGGGAGGAUGACAACCAAAUGGGACUCCUUUCUAAACAACACCUCCCACCCUUCUGAGAGCUCGUGCAGUGACCUCUUCUCAGCCUCAGCCCCCUUUCUGCAAGGUGCUAGGAAGGGAGUUGAGCACUGUUCUGGUCUUGUUGUUGUUGAAAAGCAGCACCUGAAUGACGCUAUCUUGGGCAGCUGUCAUGGGCAGCUUUUAUGAGUUAAUUUGUUUGUUGUUUAAGUGCACAAAGCCCUGUCUUUAGAUAAGAUUUCUCCAUAUGACAGGUGUUUGCACGGGGCGUUUUGAGCACAUGUGUAAACUGCACAUUACAGUUUCUUUUGUAUGAAUAAUUUGCAUUUACUGGUAGUAAUAUAGGAUUGAGCAUUUGCCUCUUAUUCUGACAAUUAAAAUAUGCUCUUGCUAGGAGUUGGCUUAGCUUUGUGUGAUGACUAUGAAUUCAACUGUGGGGAAAAAAGAGCUUAAAUAGGGUCAUUUGUGGGACUUGGCACAUAUCUUUGGAUAGAGCCAGUGUCCAGGAUUUAUACCGCUUCUUUUUCUUCUUCUUUUGGCUUCUCCCUUUAGGGAUCACCACAGUGGAUAAUCUGCCUCCAUCUAACCCCUAUCUGUCACACCAACUCUCCGCUAUGUCCUUCUUCACUACAUUCAUGAAUCUUCUCUGUGGUCUUCAUCUUUGUCUCCUACCUGGCAGCUCCAUAUUCAACACCCUUUGCCCAGUAUAUCCACUAUCCCCUCUCCACAUGUCCAAAAAAUAUCAGCAUUGCCUUAUCCUGUUAACAUUGUUCUUUCACUUUAACAUCUUCAGCUUGGCCUUCUGUCUUUUUGUCAGUACCCCUUUCUCCAAACCAUACCAAAUGUCUAACUGCUAUCUUGUAAACCAUCCCUUUCACUCUUACUCUGUGCAUGUUUCCACCUGUCUCCGUCUCAUUCAUACACACGUAUUCUAUCUUGCUUCUACUGUCUUUCAUUCCUCUUCUGUCAGAGCAUACCUCCACCUCUCCAGACGAUCUUCCACCUGUUCCCUGCUCUCACUACAGAUCACAUGUAUCGUCUCCGUACAUCAUAGUCCUGCUUGACCUCAUCUGUCAGCCUGUUCAUCACCAAUUCAAACAAGAAUGGGCUCAGAGCCAAUCACUGAUGUAAUCUCACCUCGAAUCCUAUCACACAAUCUACCACUGUCUCACUAUCCUCACACAUGUCCUGCACCACCCUCACAUGCUUCUCUGCCACUCCUGACUCCUUCGCACAAUACCGCAGGGUUUGUGCUAAGCUAAGCUAAUCAGGAGCUUCCUAGAGCAAAUAUCCAGUUUGGACACAGGAGAGGUGUUCAUUGUAUUGGAUAACAUUUGGCAAUGAAGUUAAUAAAUCAUCUCUGUGUUACUGGUGAGCCUUUAAUUUAGAAAUGUGGCUUAACUUGUCAGACUUAAAGUUCAACACCCUGGAAUAAAUUAAUCACCAAAGUACACUUUUUUGGAUGUUGUCCAAGAGAGUGUAUUCUGUAUCUUAUCUGUGAGAGAUGCUACAAGUUACCUUAAAAAAAGGAAACCCUGUUCUCAGAAAACAUCAAGAUUUUUGAAUACCUAAAGAGGAGGGAUGCGAUCUUAUAUUUGUUCGUGUGCCAAGUGGUUAUUUACCAUUUAUUGUUCCCGGUAGUCUUUGCUCAAUCUGAUGUUUGCACUUGUGUUCCUAAUGGUAAUGUUAUGACAGUAAAGUGUUGAUAAGGACCCAAUAACUCUGUAACUUGUAUAUCCUGCUAGACAGCAGGAAGGCUGCACUUUGUUAUGAUAGCAUGUAGUUUGGACUUGUUUACCCAUCUCAUCGACGCCUGGCUGACUCAUUGGACCUGGUGUUAUUACUGUACGCAUACGCGCUUUACAUAAUCGGGUGUUCUUUUCUCUCCUCAGCAAAGGGAACAAAGACCAACAUUUCACUUGUGCCCUGUCGAAACACAAGCGCAAGUGGUUGGCUGUUACAGAGAGGUUCACGUGGUAAAACCCAGCCUGUUUUUGUCAUCAUUAGUCACGGGGCUGCUUGUCUGUCACAAAGGGCUUGGAGAACAAUAAGAAGAGGGAUAUAUUAUGGUGCAGUGUCCACACUAUGGCACCUUCAGCUCCGUAUCAGUCUUUAUCAUUCAAACCAAUAUUUUUUAUAAAAUACAUUGUAAAUUAUAUAUCGUGACUGAGUCUCUCAUAUUUCCGAAACCACAAAUGAAAUCUUGAUUAUUUUCUUAGGAGUCGAUAAAAAAAAACGUGACAUUACCAGAAAUACUGGUUUGGCGAUAUCUCGGAACUAUAACAGCCUUAAGUGUUUUACUGCUUCUUCUGUUCUGAUAAGAGUCUCUUUCCAUUUCAGGGACGUUUACCAAGCAGUUGGACUGCCCUUCGAAACUCACAGCUGGAUUAAAGGAAAGAAAGGCAAAAGGUCUUAGUUAAUAAAUGACUGAGGUUUAUGAGUAGCCAGCAUUUUAAUGAUAAGCAACAUAAGAGUGACUAUUUUAGCCAUGCUGCCCACCCUGGUUUAAGAACCACGUGGAAUUUGAUACUUUUGUAAGUCUUUCAAAGUCUUCAGAGGGCGGGGUCUUGCCUUGACAUGACAGCCGAGCCAGAAUGUUACAGUGUUCAGGCUGCGCUGUGCUCGAAGAGGAUAUCUCCCAUUGCAAACAAAAGUGAAGAGGCCAAUCAAAUUGCUGUUCCUGCCUGAGAACAUUAUGUCAGUGCCAGACAGUGUGCUGUUUGGACACAGUGCACUGGGGGUUGGUGCUGGGAUUUGGGAACGUACAAAAGGUCUCUUGAAUCAUCACAUUGCAGCAGCCACAGACAGAGAUACUCCACCGUUCCCCUCUGAGUGAAAUUGUGAAAGAUAUGAUCACUUCCACAGCUGCUUGUCACCUUUGGAGGGGUUCAGUUGUUUGCGCUGCAGCUGAUUUCCUCACUGUCUCUUUUGGCUUUCGAGCACUUGACACCCAAAUAGGAGUUGAUAAACACUUGCAGUUUCUAUGCAGCUCUGGGAAAUAACCCUGUGAAAGAGGAACUAUCCCCUUUUGCUGUGCUCUCAUUAGAAAAGAUGGCCAAAGCACCACAUGAAACACAAGAACACCACGUUUUUGUGGUGAAAGAAUAUGUAAAAUAAUACAGCCAGAUGGCCUUCUGAAUGCCACAUUGCCGUGAACACUGGGAACUUUCUAGUGUGGGCUUUUGUGCACAAUGCUGAAAGUGUGCAUUCAUUCUCACAGGAGAGCAUCAGCUGCUGCAGGAAAGCAGGUCUAAUCCUGUACUGGUGGAGUGCAACUUUACUCCUUUUCUUAAAAAAAAAGACGUUUUGUGCCCUUUGUCUGUUGCUCUUAAAGCAUGCCACACAAUAUCCGACACAUAUUCUGGUACAUUCAAAAUCUGAGCUAAACAGGUCCUUGAAACUUUUUUUGAUUAAACACUGGAGUUCAUGUGGGUCCACAGGAGGUUAACAGGGACAUUCAAGUAUGUCCUUGUGCUUAUAAUCAAUAGCAUUAGCUGGUUUGUUUUCUGCCAGGACUUUGUAGCUAGUGACAUGAUAGUUUCCAGCAUGCCUGGAUUUGAUAACUGUUUAUGGAUUUAUUUCCAGGUGUCUGGAAAAAUGAUCAGAUUGAUCCAGCUGUAAUGCUAACGCCAUUAAAUUGUCCAACACUGACAAAAACUUUGUAUCUUGACUCCCUUUUUUUCCACCAUAAUGGUGUCAACUUGUCUCUUACUGGAGAAUAAACCAAAGAAGACAGUGCCUGUGGGGGCUGGCUGGAUUACAGUUGGCAGAGACUCAGAGUUGCUCAGAGGAAGGUUUUGAGGUAAAUUGCUAGUUUGCUGAGAGAAACCACCAUCUUCCAGAAAAAAAAACAACAAAAAAAACAAGAACAACAACAAAAAACACAAGCUGUUCAUUUAAAAAAAAUACUGCACUAUAAAAUAGAUUAUAAUCAUAAAGACUGUCAACUGCUGAAAGUCAUUUUUGAGUCAAGUCAAGUCUGAUGAAACUUUUGUCAUCAAACAUGCAAGACUGAGAGGAGAAUAGGAUAGAAGUUAUCAGCAGGGUCGAGUAGGAUUUAAACAACCUACUGCUAGUGUUGUUAUGCCACUCUUCUGUCAUUGAAUGAAAGUUUAAAAAGCGGUUUUGAAAACAACUUAUUUUCUCUGUCUAACAUCAGCUGGUUAAACCAGUAAUUUCUUCACUGAACUCUCUGCCGAUGCACUGUGCUGCCCUGCCAGAGGCCUGCUAGAGAUAGUCAUAAGAAGGGGACUAAAUAAUAUUAAAAAAUCAUGUUGAAUCUUGUUGCUCCCAUUUCAGACUGAAUAACUGCCUCUGUGCUGAAAUGUCUGUGUUCAGAUGAUUUAUGCGCUUUUAGUUGGUUGUUUUCCUCGUUUUUGUGAUCAGAUAAUGUGUAACAGAGGAAAUCGGUGCAAUCACGUUUUCAAAUAGUCACCUCAUCAGUUUUCUUCAUGACAAAAAUUGCACAUUCAGAGCAUAAGGGGGAAAUUGCUCAAACUCUGUAUUUCAACAGUUAGUUCUCAUCAAAUAAAGCUGCUUGUAUUUUUUUUCCUUCGCAGAAAAUCAGUUAAAAAUGAAUUAGCUAAUAAGUAGGUCUUUUCCGUCUUACAUCACUGAGAGGGAAGUAUAUUGGGGUUUGGACUCCUGGUGCUCAACAACUAAUUUCAGUCCAGUUUGGAGAAGGGGAAAUAAAAAAAAACAAUAGAAAAUUUACUUGCAAACCAACAGUAUUCAGUAGAUUUUUGACAAAUACUGCAUCAAGUGUCAGUCCUUUUGCAUACAGGAUGAGUGAUCCUGCUGCACUGCAAAUCAAAUCAAUCUGUACAGCAAUGUAACCAAAAAUAUACACAAUAUCCCAAAACAAGUGACAUGAAUAGAUUUUAUUUAUGAAUAAACUUCAUAAAUAGAACCAAGGCAACAGGAAGAAAAAGACCUUUAAUACUAGUUUAUCUCAGGAAGUACUUGGCAGGUAGGUCGCUCCAGCAGCUGCAAUUCUUCUUCUUCUUCUUUUUACACUCAGGGUAUCUGGGUGUCAUCUUCUGUGGAUAUAAGGGCUCUGUGGACAGGGGCACUUCCAAGGUGUUUUUUGAUGGGGUGGUACAG